RNAcentral lists this ribosomal RNA (305 nucleotides) under uncultured bacterium. RNAcentral's name for it is "bacterial SSU rRNA". It matches the Rfam family "Bacterial small subunit ribosomal RNA", at positions 334 to 654 of the family's 1533-position model. The record is from RNAcentral.
CGUACCUACGGGGGGCAGCAGUAGGGAAUUUUCGUCAAUGGGCGCAAGCCUGAACGAGCAAUGCCGCGUGAACGAGGAAGGUCUUCGGAUCGUAAAGUUCUUUUAAGAGGGAAGAGCAGAAGACGGUACCUCUUGAAUAAGCCACGGCUAACUACGUGCCAGCAGCCGCGGUAAUACGUAGGUGGCAAGCGUUGUCCGGAUUCACUGGGUGUAAAGGGCGUGUAGCCGGGCUGACAAGUCAGAUGUGAAAUUCCGGGGCUCAACCCCGGACCUGCAUUUGAAACUGUUGGUCUUGAGUAUCGGAG